RNAcentral lists this ribosomal RNA (253 nucleotides) under uncultured bacterium. RNAcentral's name for it is "partial 16S ribosomal RNA". It matches the Rfam family "Bacterial small subunit ribosomal RNA", at positions 524 to 776 of the family's 1533-position model. The record is from RNAcentral.
UACGUAGGAUCCAAGCGUUGUCCGGAUUUACUGGGUGUAAAGGGUGCGCAGGCGGGCUGGUAAGUCAGUAGUGAAAUCUCGGCGCUCAACGCCGAAACGUCUUUUGAUACUACCAGUCUUGAAUAAGCGAGAGAUCCGUGGAAUUCCGAGUGUAGCAGUGAAAUGUGUAGAUAUUCGGAAGAACACCAGCGGCGAAGGCAGCGGGUUGGCGCUUUAUUGACGCUCAGGCACGAAAGCAUGGGGAUCAAACAGG